GACGAACGCUGGCGGCGUGCUUAACACAUGCAAGUCGAACGGAAAGGCCCUGCUUGCAGGGUACUCGAGUGGCGAACGGGUGAGUAACACGUGGGUGAUCUGCCCUGCACUUCGGGAUAAGCCUGGGAAACUGGGUCUAAUACCGGAUAGGAGCCAUUUUUAGUGUGAUGGUUGGAAAGUUUUUUCGGUGUAGGAUGAGCUCGCGGCCUAUCAGCUUGUUGGUGGGGUAAUGGCCUACCAAGGCGGCGACGGGUAGCCGGCCUGAGAGGGUGGACGGCCACAUUGGGACUGAGAUACGGCCCAGACUCCUACGGGAGGCAGCAGUGUGGAAUAUUGCACAAUGGGCGCAAGCCUGAUGCAGCGACGCCGCGUGGGGGAUGACGGCCUUCGGGUUGUAAACUCCUUUCGCUAGGGACGAAGCUUUUGUGACGGUACCUAGAUAAGAAGCACCGGCUAACUACGUG
This 464-nucleotide ribosomal RNA is filed under the name uncultured bacterium. RNAcentral's name for it is "partial 16S ribosomal RNA". It matches the Rfam family "Bacterial small subunit ribosomal RNA", at positions 28 to 507 of the family's 1533-position model. The record is from RNAcentral.